UAUUGUUAUUUUGACAGACUAGUGCAUUAAAUUUAGAAUUUAAUUAUGCAAAUUAAUUUACAAAUAAUAC
Molecule: transfer RNA, 70 nt
Filed under: Ochthebius nilssoni
Lineage: Eukaryota; Metazoa; Arthropoda; Insecta; Coleoptera; Hydraenidae
Description: transfer RNA-Leu
Source: RNAcentral